AGCCGACGCACAUCUUCUCGCGCCUCAACACGUGCUUUCAUAACAAAGAAAAGGGACAAGAAGUUCACAUCGUUUCCUUAGAAAAAAGGUAAAUAUUUCUUAUGUUCUGCAAAGUUUGUAAUUUUUUAAUGUUAUAAUUAACACCUAUUUUUUUUAAGAAAUCGUAAACAGGUAAACAUGGUAAAUAUAACUAUAAAGACAACAUUGCUCAUGUGCUGGCAAACGGUUACAAUGAGGAUACACUGAAAUAAACAUGGCUGCGCCCGUUCAAUCCAUUUUUUUUUCACAUGAAAAUGACACACAGCUAUAUCAUUCGUUAUUUGUUUUUUGUCUAAAUUAAAUCGGUAUGAAUUUAAAUUAAAUAUCUGAAUUCUACUUUUCAACAACAUGUCGAUAUCAAAUGUGUACAUGAUUGCGUACUAUUGGAGGUAUUAAUUAACAUAGGGGGAUCCAGAGGGGGGAAAAGGGGGGGGGGCUUUGUGGGAAAUAUAAUAAAUUAUAUUGGUUGCUUAUAUAGGGAAUCACUGAACAAAACUGUAGCGUCCCCCUUUAGGUCAGUAAGUGAGCCCCCUUACAUAACGUUCUUGAUCUGCCACUGAUUAAUGAUUUGUUUUUGGGGGAGGUACCCCCUGAAUUCCCCCUUACCCUAUGGCUAUAUUGAUUCUACCAGCUACACCUAUUUGUUCUCUUCUUUAAAGUCGCUUGGUUUAGGUGUAAAAGCUUUGUUCAAGAUUGACAGGACUUGAGUAUAAUUUUUUUUUCUGUGUUGCAAAUAUUUUAAGCUGCAUACAUAUAUCUCUUUUCUUUUCCUAAUUCUUACAGUUGCUAUAUAAACUAUAAUAAAGUCUCCAGGUGUUGGGUACAUUAAGAAAACUUAAAGGAGUUAAAAAUUUAAGGGUUAAUCUAAUUAAUUAUAUUAUUUUUAUUUAACAGCAAUUAUAUGGGUAGACAUUCCUUAAAUUCAAAGCUAAAAUACAAAAGAAAGAAGAGAGAACAAAAUCGACAAAAGAAAAAGGAAUCUGUGAAUAUUUCAGGCUAUUUAUUGUUCAUGUGCAAGGUCAUCCUACUGCUUUGCCCCAAGUUCGUCUUCAGAAACUGACCGUACAGUUGACACCUGUUCGCAGACAAUCAUGACAAUUAGCAACCCACCUCAGAAAAGUGUUUAUUCUCACGAUUCUGAAAAAUCCUCUGCUAACCAAGUUAUUUAGUCAGUAAACAAAAAAAUUGAAAAACCUGACCUGGAGACAAAGUUGACCUAUAUCAAUUGUACAUAAGAUUUCAAGAAUAUCAGUUACUUAAAAAUAGAAAGAAACAGACUGAUAUGGCAAAAUUUUGGUAAGUGUAUUACUAUAAGUAUGAAAAAGAAGAUGUGGUAUAUUUGCCAAUGAGACAACUCUCCACAAGAGACCAAAUGACACAGAAAUUAACAACUAUAGGUCACCAUACAGCCUUCAACAAUAAGCAAAGCCCAUACCGCAUAGUCAGCUGUAAAGGGCCCCGAAAUGACAAAUGUAAAACAAUUCAAACGAGAAAACUAACGGCCUUAUUUAUGUACAAAAAAAUGAAUGAAAAAA
RNAcentral lists this long non-coding RNA (1574 nucleotides) under Mytilus galloprovincialis (Mediterranean mussel). The record is from RNAcentral. Lineage: Eukaryota; Metazoa; Mollusca; Bivalvia; Mytilida; Mytilidae.